RNAcentral lists this long non-coding RNA (593 nucleotides) under Danio rerio (zebrafish). RNAcentral's name for it is "lncRNA (ENSDARG00000117470.1)". Lineage: Eukaryota; Metazoa; Chordata; Actinopteri; Cypriniformes; Danionidae. The record is from RNAcentral.
AAACACAUAUAUACUAUUAAGUUACUAUUUGCACCUACAUCUAUCUUCCUUUUUUCUUUUCCCCUGCAGGAAAAGCUUCAAAAGGGAGAGUGUCAGGGGCCAGGAGGGGUGUGGAGCUGGAGGACAGCAGGCAGGGGACCAAUGUUGGAUUGUUCCGGAGCCAUGUGAAGUACGUCUAAGCCCCCUGCUUCUUCUCGCAAAGAAGAUUUGUAGCAAUCAUCGCCGAAGACAUGUGCUGCACGGACAUACUACAACCUUAUCACAACCCCUGCAAUGUUUCCUGUCUGUACAUCUUAUCUGCAUUGCUCAGGGAGGCAGGCUGCUCUUAUAAAUCAAGGUAAAAAAGCAAACACAUCAAAACGUCAAAGCCUUCCGGUGUUUUCUUUGGAGGUGUUUGUGUUCUUGUGAUUUUUCAACAGAGAGGCUAGAGAGGAUUCACAUCUAUAUUUAGAUCUCCAGGAUGCUCUUAUAAAUGUUCUGCACAAUUUUCCACUAGACCUUUAUGGUGGAAUAAAGAGGUGUCCAGAAUAGAUUGUGACAUCAGGGAAACAUAACUGUCAGAACAGAGGCAGACUGAUCCAUGACAAUGUGAA